CACGCAUAAAAGCCAGCUCCCUGCCCACCCCCACAGUGGAGCCUGAUGCUCACAGAGCUGCGUGACUCAUUUAUAAUUAUAAGAGGAAAACCAAGGAUCACCAGGCAAAUGAGAAAACCUGGCAACAGAAGGGUCAGUUCCAACCACUGGGAGGCCGAAGGGGAGGCAGGAAUGGCAUCACUCCUCCAUAAGGAAGCUAUUUUGUCCCAAAUGAAAUGGAGCCAUCACUCAAGGGCUGGGAAAUGCAUCAUGGAGGUGUCUGUGAAGAACUCAGCCAGAGAGGCCUGUCCUUGUCCAAGACGGAUGCACCCACCAGGGUCUCCCUGAGGAUCAAGGGCCUUGGGCUCUGAGCUAACUUUCUCCGGAAGGUGUUCUAGGCUCCAGUCGGGGCUCAGAGGUGCCCGCCUGCUGUGAACUCUGCUCCUCAGGGUCCCCAGAGGUCCCUGUAGAGAAGGCUGCCUCCUCCCACACCCUCACCUCCCCAGUGAGCACCUCAGCCCCCCGCUCCAGCUCAGCAGAGACCCUGGCCCCAUACAGGUCAGGACUGGGGACAGCGACUGCAGCGUUUCUCUUGAUCUGAUCCUGCAUCUUCAUCCACGGACUCAGUGAACACAGGCUGACUGUUGCCAGGCCGCCUAGACAGCCCGGAGGACAACUGAACAAAAGUGGGCCCGGAGCUCAUUCUGGGCUUUCCUGGAUACUGCCCCAAUUGGUAUUGGGGUUCCUCCUCCUCCCGGGAGAGUCUGCAGCCACACUCAACUGCCCAUGAGAUCAUG
This 776-nucleotide long non-coding RNA is filed under the name Equus asinus (donkey). RNAcentral's name for it is "lncRNA (ENSEASG00005026041.1)". The record is from RNAcentral. Lineage: Eukaryota; Metazoa; Chordata; Mammalia; Perissodactyla; Equidae.